RNAcentral lists this ribosomal RNA (622 nucleotides) under uncultured Lactobacillales bacterium. RNAcentral describes it as "bacterial SSU rRNA". It matches the Rfam family "Bacterial small subunit ribosomal RNA", at positions 56 to 676 of the family's 1533-position model. The record is from RNAcentral. Lineage: Bacteria; Bacillati; Bacillota; Bacilli; Lactobacillales.
UGCAAGUCGAACGGAGUAUUCACGAAAGAGGUUUCGGCCAAUGGAGUGAAUUACUUAGUGGCGGACUGGUGAGUAACGCGUGAGGAACCUGCCUUUCAGUGGGGGACAACAGUUGGAAACGACUGCUAAUACCGCAUAAUACAUUUGAGGGACAUCCCUUGAAUGUCAAAGAUUUAUUGCUGAAAGAUGGCCUCGCGUCUGAUUAGCUAGUUGGUGAGGUAACGGCCCACCAAGGCGACGAUCAGUAGCCGGACUGAGAGGUUGACCGGCCACAUUGGGACUGAGAUACGGCCCAGACUCCUACGGGAGGCAGCAGUGGGGAAUAUUGGGCAAUGGACGAAAGUCUGACCCAGCAACGCCGCGUGAAGGAAGAAGGCUUUCGGGUUGUAAACUUCUUUUAAGGGGGAAGAGUAGAAGACGGUACCCCUUGAAUAAGCCACGGCUAACUACGUGCCAGCAGCCGCGGUAAUACGUAGGUGGCAAGCGUUGUCCGGAUUUACUGGGUGUAAAGGGCGUGCAGCCGGGAAGGCAAGUCAGAUGUGAAAUCUGGGGGCUCAACCUCCAAACUGCAUUUGAAACUGCUUUUCUUGAGUAUCGGAGAGGUAAUCGGAAUUCCUUGUGU